CAACUUUCAACAACGGAUCUCUUGGUUCUGGCAUCGAUGAAGAACGCAGCGAAAUGCGAUAAGUAGUGUGAAUUGCAGAAUUCAGUGAAUCAUCGAAUCUUUGAACGCACAUUGCGCCCUUUGGUAUUCCAAAGGGCAUGCCUGGUUCGAGCGUCAUU
Molecule: ribosomal RNA, 158 nt
Filed under: Alternaria dauci
Lineage: Eukaryota; Fungi; Ascomycota; Dothideomycetes; Pleosporales; Pleosporaceae
Description: 5.8S ribosomal RNA
Rfam family: 5.8S ribosomal RNA
About the family: 5.8S ribosomal RNA (5.8S rRNA) is a component of the large subunit of the eukaryotic ribosome.
Source: RNAcentral